Molecule: long non-coding RNA, 532 nt
Filed under: Taeniopygia guttata (zebra finch)
Lineage: Eukaryota; Metazoa; Chordata; Aves; Passeriformes; Estrildidae
Description: lncRNA (ENSTGUG00000022729.1)
Source: RNAcentral
AUCGGAUCGGGGCUGCUCCCGGCGCUGCGCGGUGUCCGAGGCGCUCAGUACCUUGAGGCUCAUGGAGUUAAAUGAUGAGAAGCGACUGGCCCAGCUGCACAUUGAACACAGAAUUUUGGCCUUCUCAGCACCCUGCUCCAAGUGUCAAGGGAGAAGCAAAUGAGACAAGUCCUGAGGGUUACCUUGCUCCAUGGCCGAUGUUCUUUUGCAGAGCAGCAGGGGGCAUUGCCUGAAGUGUGUCCCAGCUGGCUGGGAGCGCAGGGCAGGAGAAGGCCAGAAACCCCUGGAAGGGAAGCAGCACCUCUUGUCCUUGGGAUAUGCAGGGGAGAAGCUGUGCCUGCACCAUGGCUCCUCAGCCAGGGGCUGCUCUGACCAGGCAUGGGGAGAUGCUUUGGUCUGGACAGAGACCACUGACAGCCCAGAAGCCCAAGGAGCAGCUGGCAUUACCUGGGAAUGGAGGUACAGGCUGCUUGUAGAGCAGCUCAGACAGCAAUUCCUGGUUCAGAGAUCCCACACAGCUGCCAGAUAUUAA